This is a small nucleolar RNA of Dioscorea cayenensis subsp. rotundata (Guinea yam), 107 nucleotides long. NCBI's taxonomy places the organism in Eukaryota, Viridiplantae, Streptophyta, Magnoliopsida, Dioscoreales, Dioscoreaceae. The record is from RefSeq and is a predicted model, not a curated record.
AGACCAUGUUGUGGGAAUCGCCUCAAAAGAUCUUUAUACCUUGCCCAAGCUUCGUAUAAUAUUUCCCUAUCUUGUUGAGUAAAAGAAGCUAUGUCAUGUUGAAGUUU